Molecule: long non-coding RNA, 484 nt
Filed under: Durio zibethinus
Lineage: Eukaryota; Viridiplantae; Streptophyta; Magnoliopsida; Malvales; Malvaceae
Description: long non-coding RNA (DZIB_LNC001377)
Source: RNAcentral
AGAAGAAAAAGAGGAAGACAAACCUGCUGCUGCUGCUGCUGAAAUUGAAGAAAAGGCCGAAACGUCUGAGAAAGUCGAGGUUGAAGCACCCUCCCCUGUUGAAGUCAAAGAAGAAGAGAAAACUCCACCACCAACCGAGGCACCAGCUGUUGAGACGGUGGUGGUGGAAACACAGGUGGUUGAGACAGUGACAACUGUCGACGAUGAUGGCGCCAAGACCGUGGAGGCUAUUGAGGAAUCUGUAGUAGCAGUCUCUGCCCCUCCACCAUCGGAGAAACAGGAGGGGGAGGCUUCUGGUUCCAAAGAAGUAGAGGUAGCUCCUUUACCAGAGGAGCCAAAAGAAGCUGAAGUUCCUCCACCUCCACCCGAAGAGGUGUCUAUAUGGGGAAUUCCGCUUCUUGCUGACGAAAGGAGCGAUGUGAUCCUGUUGAAAUUCUUGAGGGCAAGGGAUUUCAAAGUAAAAGAUGCAUUUAUUAUGAUCAAG